UAGAGAAACUAGGCCCUUGGUGAUGUC
Molecule: non-coding RNA, 27 nt
Filed under: Homo sapiens (human)
Lineage: Eukaryota; Metazoa; Chordata; Mammalia; Primates; Hominidae
Source: RNAcentral